RNAcentral lists this long non-coding RNA (2240 nucleotides) under Homo sapiens (human). Its description in RNAcentral is "HSALNT0075430". Lineage: Eukaryota; Metazoa; Chordata; Mammalia; Primates; Hominidae. The record is from RNAcentral.
CUGAAGAACAGGAGCCAGGAGUAGAGCAUGCCUUUGGAGGUGAUGGUGGUCUUUUGGCCUUAAUUUCUUCCUAAAUCAAAAGUAUAAUAUAACCAAUAUACAUUUGCAUCCACCUAUAUUUUCUAUGAAAAUUCAAUGUAAAAUGAAUGAGAAAUAUUGUGCCUAAUAAGAGAGAUACAUGAAAGUAAAAAAAGGUUAGUUUUAUCUUAAGCUAUCAAAUAUUUAUAUUUGGAGACAAAACAAAUAGUGAUAUCUUAUUAACUUUUGAUGAAAUCAUUUUAAACUCUUGGCUAAAUAACAAGAUAACAAAUUUGUAAUAUGCAAUGUAUGACCUUUUAUAUUGCAGUUUCAGAUAACAGCCAACUCAUGACACAUGAGAUUUGCUGUUAAGUUGGGAAGAUUUCUCUUUUAUGGCCAGGAAAAGACAGCUGAGAGGUUUUAUGCUUUGUCUGUGAAGCAACUGCAUGAUGCAAAUUGCUACUUCCUUGCUGCAAGUAACAGCUAACAGCUGAGAGUUAGAAAGGCAAACUAAAUUUCUUCCCUUUAUCAGUUGGAAGGGAAAUAGAAAGGUUAUUUUCCCAUUCUGGGAGGUAAGUAUACUGUUUGCAAUUUUUAAAAAUUAAAAGGUUCUGGGAGCUUUUAAGUCCAUGAAGAGUUACAGAAGCCUUAGAUCCAUGGGCCUGUUCCAGGAAAGGCUUUCUACCCUUCAGAAGUGACUGAUUUAUAACAACACAUAGAACUUAGUGCCUAAAUGAGCCAACAACCUGGGAUUUUGAUGAUUGGAAUUGAUAAAACAAUAUUUAACUUUAUGUUUAGCAAAAAUAAAUCUACAUUAUAUUUGAGGCAUUCUUUUUUUAAGUUUAUUAUACAGACUUUGUUAUGGAAAAAUAGUAACACAGUAAGUCCUUAAUGUUGUUGAUAGCUCUUAGAAACUGACUUUACGUGAGAUGAUGUAUAACAAAUCCAAUUUUUUUUUCUCAUCAACUGAUAUGGUUGGCUCUGUGUCCCCUCCCAAAUGUCACCUUGAAUUGUGAUAAUCCCCAUAUGUCAAGGGCAGGAUCUGGUGGAGUUAAUUGAAUCAUGGGGUCAGGUUCCCCCAUACCAUUCCCAUGAAAGUGAGUUCUCAUGAGAUCUGAUGGUUUUUAUAAGUGGCCUCCCCCUUUACUUGGCUCUCACUUUUCUUGACUGCUGCCAUGUAAGACAUGCCAGUUUUGCCUUCUGCUAUGAUUGUAAGUUUCUUGACUCCUCCCUAGCCAUGCAGAACUGUGAGUCAAUUAAAUCUCUUUUCCUUAUAAAUUACCCAGUCUUGGAUAUGUCACAAAAAUAAAGUCCAGCAAUUGAGUCAUGAGUCAAAGAAGAAAUAAUAAUGAGAAUUAGAAAAUACACUGAACUCAGUGAAAAUGGUAUAUACAAAAAUUGUGAGAGUGGCUAAAGCAAUCUUCAGUGGGGAAUUUAUAGCUUUAAAAUACAUAUAUUAGAAAGAUAAAAUGAGUUAGAAAAACAGCAAUAAGAUAAAGUAUGUAAUAGAAAGAGAAAACUAAUAACAGCAGAAAUUAAUAAAAUAGAAAAUAUACAACAUAGAGAAUCAAAAAAUCAUGAACAUCAAUUCCUUGAUACACUAAUAAAAUCAAUAAACUUAUUGAAUAAACUUUUGUUGAAAAUUAUAAACUUCUUUUAAUUGAGAAAAACAAAGACACAAGUUAACACAACUAAUAUGUAAAAGGGUACUUCUUACAGAACCAGCAGAUAUUUUUAAAAGAAUAUAAGGAUAUCAUGCAUAACUUUGUCAAUAAAUCUGAAUUUAGACUGAAUAAACAACUUUUAGAAAAGAAUAGAUUACCAAAAACUGAUUCAAGGAGAAAUAGAAAAUCUGAACAGUUUUGUAACAAAAUAGAUUUUAAAGCAAAGAAUAGUGUCAGGGAUGAAGAGAGUAACUUCAUAAUGAUAAAAAGGUCAUUUUAUCAAGAAGACAUAGCAAACCUAAACAGUUUUAUGCCUAAUAAGAGAGCUUCAAAAUACAUGAUUAAAAACUGGUAGAAAUGGAAAGAGAAAUUUAAAAAUCCACAAUUAUAAUUAGCGAUUUCAACACCUCUCCCUCAAUAAUUGGCAGAAAAAGUAGCCAAUCAGUAAGGCUAUAGAACGAGGGUCCCCAAAUCCCUGGACCACAACCUGCUGCACAGCAGAAUGUGAGCAGUGGGAGGGCAAGUGAGCAUUACCGCCUGAGUUCUGCCUCCUGUCAG